ACGGGUGAGUAAUGCGUAGGAAUCUGUCUUUGAGUGAGGGAUAACCCGUGGAAACGCGGGCUAAUACCGCAUAAGACUGAGAAGUGAAAGCAGGGGACUCGAAAGGGCCUUGCGCUGAAAGGGGAGCUUACGUCGGAUUAGCUAGUUGGUUGGGUAAAGGCUGACCAAGGCGACGAUCCGUAGCUGGUCUGAGAGGACGACCAGCCACACUGGGACUGAGACACGGCCCAGACUCCUACGGGAGGCAGCAGUGGGGAAUUUUGGACAAUGGGGGCAACCCUGAUCCAGCAAUGCCGCGUGUGUGAAGAAGGCCUGAGGGUUGUAAAGCACUUUAGGCGGGGAAGAAGGUACGCGCGUGAAUAGUGAGCGUAUUUGACGGUACCCGCAAAAUAAGCACCGGCUAACUCUGUGCCAGCAGCCGCGGUAAUACAGAGGGUGCAAGCGUUAAUCGGAAUUACUGGGCGUAAAGCGCAUGUAGGUGGGUCAUUAAGUUUGAUGUGAAAGCCCUGGGUUUAACCUGGGAAAGGCGUUGAAGACUGGUGGUCUAGAGUCGGACAGAGGGCCGUGGAAUUUCCG
RNAcentral lists this ribosomal RNA (576 nucleotides) under uncultured bacterium. Its description in RNAcentral is "bacterial SSU rRNA". It matches the Rfam family "Bacterial small subunit ribosomal RNA", at positions 102 to 672 of the family's 1533-position model. The record is from RNAcentral.